Molecule: long non-coding RNA, 41213 nt
Filed under: Medicago truncatula (barrel medic)
Lineage: Eukaryota; Viridiplantae; Streptophyta; Magnoliopsida; Fabales; Fabaceae
Description: long non-coding RNA (MTRU_LNC001231)
Rfam family: MIR2587 microRNA precursor family (bases 34783-34881)
Source: RNAcentral
UUUUUUUUUUUACAAAGGUUGAUACAUAGGUUAACUUCUAAAUUUAAUUAACUUAGAAAACAUAACAUAAUCCUAUAGUUAACAGGUUUGUCCAAAAUAAUCAGCAGAUGCCAUAAUCAAUUGAUUUUGUUAAACAAAAUCCCAAUUAAAACCAAAAUUAUAACAUUGUUCGGUAAAACCAAAAUCACAAUUAAAACCAAAAUUAUAACAUUGUCCGGUAAAAAUAAAAUCUCAAUUAAAACCAAAAUUAUAACAUUAUCCGGUAAACCAAAAUCACAAUUAAAACUAAAAUUAUAACAUUGUCCGGUAAAACUAAAAUUACUUAUAAGAUUAUAACCUUACCUUAUUUUAUUCCUUAAAAAAAAAACUUACCUUAUUUUAUUCCUUAAAAACAAAAUUAAAAAAAAAACUUACCAUAUUUUAUUCGUUAAAAAAAAAAUAAAAAACCUACCUUAUUUUAUUAUAAAAUAUCCCUAAUUAAACUAACAUUGUCCGGUAGACACGUGUCCCGUAUUCCGAUCUGAGAAAUCUCAGUUUCUGCUUCCUUCUAACUACGCGAGGGUCACAUCCAACGGUCAGAUCGACUAAACAUGCUUCCGUUCAAAUGUUAGAAACGUUUCAGUCACCAGGGAGCUGUCCUUCCUAGUUUACUAGGCUUCUGAAGGUAUAGUUUGUCCGGUAGACACGUUUCCGGGAUUCCGAUCUGAGAAAUCUCAGUUUCUGCUUCCUUCUAACUACGUGAAGGUCACAUCCAACGGUCGGAUCGACUAAACAUGCUUCCGUUCAAAUGUUAGAAACGUUUCAGUCACCGGGGAGUUGUCCUUCCUAGUUUAAGGGGCUUCUGAAGGUAUAGUUUGUCCGAUAGACAUGUUUCUGGGAUUCCGAUCUGAGAAAUCUCAGUUUCUGCUUCCUUCUAACUACGCGAAGGUCACAUCCAACGGUCGGAUCGAGUAAACAUGCUUCCGUUCAAAUGUUAGAAACGUUUCAGUCACCGGCGAGUUGUCCUUCCUAGUUUAAGGACCAUUAUUUUGGAUUACUACAUAGGUAAACAAGCUUCCCAGUUUAUCUAUUUUAUAAAGAAUGUUGAUAUAGUAAAUGUCAUUGUGGACACUAAUUAAUUUUCAAUACAUUCCAACAAAGUUAAAACCAAAAUGGUCCCCAUUCAUAAUAAAUACAAAAUUCAUUACCCCACACACAUCUUGCCUUUAAAGAGAAGGCCACCCAACAAGAAACCAUAACCACACACAUCCUAGUUCAACUCAAACAAAGAUCUAGUUCCUCAACUAGGAGCAUUCAAAGGACCCAAUGAGUUCAUCUUUAAGGUUGCAUCUCAAUUUUUUACACCCUCCUUUUUUUUUUUUUUUUUUUUUGCGUGUGUGUGGAUAUAAUCAUAAGCUUGCUAACUUUUCUUGCUCUUGGUUCAUAUAUGCAUAAGGUUGCUAGCUGAUAUUUGCACAUAAAUCCAACUUGUAGCACUAACUGAUCUAACUUUUCACAUAUAAAACAACUUAUUAAAUCCAACUUGGUUCAUACUAUUAUGCCAGAUUUUUUUAUAUAAUUAUCAUUUCAACUCUGAUUCAUGUUAAUGAAAUUAUUAAAUGCAGCGUUGAAAUGGAUCCGGAGUUGGCUGAAUUUUACGAGAAUUUUUACCCCGUUGAAGAUGAAGAUCUUGUUGAAGAAUGGAUUGCUAACUUUGACCAUGUUGAUGACUAUGUUUGGAUGGUCAAGGUUACUACUUCUUUGAUUCAAUUAAAAAAUGUUCUGGUGCGUUUGUAUAUCUUGAAUCAACUAUUUCAUGCUUCAUAAGUUGUAUUUAAUGUUAGUUUACCUUUUGAUUCAUUUGACAUUUUUGUGUGCAGCAUAUUCCUAAGCACGUUGUCAUUCAAAGCUUUCAAGUGAAUCCAAUGAAAUUUUACCAAUGAAGUGAUUAUUGCUUUUCCAUUAAAAAAAUGAUUAUUGCGUAAAAAAUUUAUAACAAAGUGAUUAGUUUUGACAUUGAGUCGAGGAAGGAUAAUUCGAUUUACAUUUUGUUAGCCUAGCGACUCAUUAACAUCACGCAUCCCCAACCUCCUGUCCUAUUUAUAGCAUCAACUAGGAGGAGCAACAACUUACGAUUAUCCAUGGAUCAAGCGACAUAACUAUCUUUGUCUUUAUCCUUUUCUCCGUUAUUUUCUUUUUUGUUAUUUUCUUGUUGUGAAUCUCGCAUUUGAUCACUAAUAUAUAUAAGGAACAAACUAAUUUUUUUUUCUUUUUUGACAAAACAAGGAACCAACUAUUUUUCACAAGAACAAUUGUUGUUUCCUAAUUGUCAAAAGCAUAGUGACUAUAUAAAAUCUCAAGGGUUUGUGUGAGAUUGUUGAAUGGGAGUAGUAUUUUAUACUUUUGACUAAAAAGUCUCACAAAAUCCAUUCAAUCCAAGAAUUCAUCAAAAUCUAUAGACUUUUGAAUACCAAGAGACAAUUUACAAGUCAUGAGAAAUCUCAAUUGAAUAUCAACGGAAUUGGUUGUCCUGAAAUAAAAGUCAUGAUUGUCUUAAUUGAAUACCACAAAUUUUUUUUAUAUUUUAUAAAAGUCUUGAUUGAAUACCACCAAACUUUUUUAUUAUAAAAAAGUCUUUUAAAAUCCUUUUAAAUUACAAUCCAAUACACCUCCUUAUUAUGUUCAUAGUUUUAUUUCUCUAGUUUUAUUAGCUAAUCUUAAAAUUGUAGCCUUUUAUUGAGAUUUUAACUUAUUUUUAUUAUUCUUUUCUUUUAUGAGGCUUGUUAAUUUAUUUUUAUUUUUAAAGAAAAGAAAACAAACGCACUCCUUGGAGAGACAAAAUUGAUUUGAAAUAAUAUUCACUUGAGCUGGGCUUUACAUAUUACAAUUAUAUCUUGGCUUAUUUAUAAGUUUAGUUCCCGCAAUUAAAGGUCACUUGUGUUUCAGUCAGGAAUUUGUUUACCCUUUCAAUUUUACCUUGUAAAUAUUAAUUACUCGAGUUUUGGUCUCUGAGUUCAUAACUUUGCUGAGGUGACCGUGGUUAGAUGACGUGUCCAAUGUUGACUAGGAUAAGUGGUUGCCAACUCAACAAGAAAAACUUGAAAGGACGACUUUACCCUUCAUUGUUAUUGAAAAAUGGGAAAAGACAAAAACACACUACUUCAAGCUUCCCUUCUAAACUUGAUUCAAUCUUUAAAUUCAUUAAACAAUAAUUAUAUCUGUAAUUUUGUUUGAAGGAAUAGUAGUAUCUAUAAUAUUGACCAAGAUAUAUAUAUAUAUAUAUAUAUAUUUGAUUUAAAUGUGUCAUUGGUCCCUGCACUUUCAUCAGAUUUUGACAUUGAUCCCUGCACUUUUUUUGUUUGGCAUUGGUCCUUGUACUUUGUAAAAAUAUUGGUAUUGGUCCCUCUGUUAACUUUCUGUUAAAAAAAAAUACAAAACCAACGGAGUGCCACGUGGUCCAAUCAUUUCACACCACGUGGCACCAAUAUCAAUAUUUUUACAAAGUGCAGGGACUAAUACCAAUAUUUUUACAAAGUACAGGGACUAAUACCAAUAGUUUGGUGUUUUUUUUAACAGAAAGUUAACAGAGGGAUCAAUACCAAUAUUUUUACAAAGUGCAGGGAUCAAUUCCAAACAAAAAAAAGUGUAGGGACAAAUGCCAAAAUCUGAUGAAAGUGCAGGGACUAAAGAUAUAUUUAAGCCUAUAUUUUUUUAGACAAUUGACCAGGAUAAAUUAGUUAUUCAACGAAUUUAAUUUGAAAGUGUAUUAUAAAAAAAUUAGGAAAUUUUUUUUUUUGGUUCAAGGGUUAUAUAUGUUUUUUUUAGGUGGCGCCGGGGUUCGAACCCGAACUUUAUAUAUAUUAUACAUUGUUCAUAUCGAUUGAGUUAAGCUCGCGAGAACGGCUUAUAUGUGUGUUUUAUUAACACAAAAGGAUCCUUAAAAAAAUAAAAUAUUUUUGAAAAAGGGUUAUGUUAAAAUAGCUAGCAAGGUGUGUGAAUUAUUUUUGUUGACUGGAGGGAAAAUAGUUGUUAGCAGUAGAAAGAAGAGAGAGAGAGAGUGUUUCCUCCUUCUCCUCUUGUUUUGGGUAUUUUUGUUCGACAGCGCCGAGGGAAGAGAAGAGAAGAGAGAGAAACAAAAAAAAAAGUGAGAUAUGGAUUUGGACCAAUGGAUCUCGAAGGUUAAAGAUGGCCAACAUCUUCUCGAAGACGAACUUCAACUUCUCUGCGAAUACGUAUUCUCCUCUCUCCCUCUCUCUCGCUUUCUUCUCUUUUUAGGGUUUCACUUUCAAUCGAUUCUUGCUCAAUUCAUUCUCAACGUGUUUAAUUUUCGACUUCAAUUUUGUAUUAUGUUUAUUGUCGUUGCGCAUUGGGGAGAAAUUUUAGGGCUUUCUUUGGUUCGGUUCAAGAUUUAUAUGUAUUUUCUGUUAUUAUUGUUUUAAUUUUAAUUUAUUAUGCUGUUUUAAUUGUGUUUAAUUAUUUUUGUUUAGUUUAAGUUUGAAAUUGAAGUGAUUAUUAUUAUGAAUGUUUCAGGUUAAAGAGAUCUUAAUUGAGGAAUCCAAUGUGCAACCUGUGAAUAGUCCAGUAACUGUUUGUGGUGACAUUCAUGGUCAGUUUCAUGAUCUAAUGAAACUUUUUCAGACCGGUGGGCACGUGCCCGAGACGAAUUACAUUUUUAUGGUAUUUUAUUUUAUUUUACUAUGUUUUGUUAUUUAUUAUUGGAUCUGGAUGAUGUUUUUGGUAUGUAUAUUUAGUGAUUGUUUUUGUGUUGCUGAAUGUGUUUUAGGGUGACUUUGUUGAUCGCGGUUAUAAUAGUCUCGAAGUAUUCACUAUCCUUUUGCUUCUAAAAGCUAGGUAUGUUGCUUACAUCUGUCUUAACUUAGCUUGUUUUCAUGUGACUUUGAGUAAUAUUGCGGCCACUUUGUAGUUUUGUGACUUUCUAAUUUAUUCGUCGUGUUUGGCUGUGAAGCACUGACACAGACAUAUACAACACGACCCAGAUGAUAAUUUUAGGAAUGAUUUAGAAAUUAAUGAGUUGGACCGAAAUGUAGUUUAUGAUAGAACAUUAUGGCGUAUUUUGAUCCACGUGGCCGAUCCCACUUAGUAGAAAAAGGGUUGCUACUUGUUGUUUUUGUGGAACUUAUGUAACCAAUAGUAUCAGUGUCAGUCACUGGACAAGACACGACACACCUUCAUUGUGAACUGACAAUGCUACAUAGGUGUUUAGAUCUUGAAUGUUCAGAGUUAUUUGGUCUUUCUAAAUACUUUUCCUUUUAUUUAAUCAUCUUUUAACUUUUUCUUUGAUUUUGUAGAUACCCUGCUAAUAUAACCCUUCUACGUGGAAACCAUGAAAGUAGACAACUCACACAGGUAUAUGUUUAAUGUACUUGGCUAUCAUGCAUGAUAUGAAUUACUGUAGGCUUAAGCUAACAUUUUAGGCAGAAGAUUGGAAAUUAUUAAAGGUUUCUGCUUUGUGUCAUUUUAGCAAGCCAAUGUUGUCAAUUGUAUAUUGCAAAAAGUAGCGGUUUGUUCAAAUUUCCGGUUAUAGCAAGCUAAUGAUCUUUUGUUUUUGAGGGGGACACCUAUAGGCCUUUUGUUCAAAUUCCUGGCUAUAGCAAGCCUUUUUGUGGAAGGGCUGAAUCGUUAACUGUGACAAAACUAAUGGGUCUUGAUUUGUUAAAAUAAAUUAGGAGUCUGUUGGUUAUAUAAUUGAUUCAGUGAUGUAAGGAUUUGUGAACUAUCAUUCUUGUUUUUCUUUUUUACUCCUGCUCUUGCUGUAUUAAGAAAUGUCUAAAUUUAUGGAUUUCUAUUACGAGAUCUUACAACUUUGAUGAUAAUUUUUGAAAUGCCAUUAGAAAUUAGAGAUGAGAUAAGUUGCCAAUUGAUGUUAAUUUUGUGUAAUUUAAUAUUUUGCUAGGUCUAUGGAUUUUAUGAUGAAUGCCAGAGAAAGUAUGGAAAUGCUAAUGCUUGGCGAUAUUGUACCGAUGUUUUCGACUAUCUUACACUUUCUGCAAUUAUAGAUGGAACUGUAAUUCUCCUUCCUUCCCUCCUUCCUCUCUCUAUUCCCUAUUCACAUUUAAGCAGUGCAUGCGCUUUUUAUUUAUUUUUAAUUAUGCUUUAAGAAAACGUAACUCUCUUAUAUGCUAUGGUCGACCCAGGUGCUUUGUGUUCACGGUGGCCUUUCUCCAGACAUCAGAACAAUUGACCAGGUUCUCUAGCUCCCUUCUCAGUUGCUGGUCGAAAUCAACAUUUUCUAUGUAUCUAUGUAUUAUACUAUAGCCCUCUACGGAAAUAAGUUGAAGAUAGGUUAUUGAUGUGUCAUAAGCUCUUUCUAUUAGCUCUCCUAAACAAUCUCGCAAAUGUUUAUGUCAGUAGAUAACCUCAAAUAAGCUAAUCCAAAUAUGCCCUAAGUGCAGUUGGAAUAACUUAUUUUGUGUUUAGAAGAACAUAAUAAGAAUGACACAUAAUUUUCUCUCAAAAGCUGUCCUUGUUAAAAUUAAGCAAACCCAAAUUUGUGCCAUGCCAACUUACAAUAUAUAAUGGCUAGUUGUCUUACAUCAGUGUCAAAUACUUUUUUUUGCAAAUUUUUUAAUUUACAUUGUGUAUGUAAAUUUGUCCACCCUUUUACCACAACAUAUUAAUAGGGCUGAUAUGUGUAUAUGACAUGCUUGUAUUUUUGGUACCUCUUGAAUUUUGACUUCCGUUUUCAUAUUGUGUGUCUUUUAUUUAAAUAUGAUAUUGAUAACACUGCACAUAAUUGGAUGCUAUAUUUCUCCUUUUUCCUUACUUUAUUCUAGGAAAUCAGAGAGGUAUCAGCAAUAGCCUGUUUGGUUUGAAAACAUGUUUUCUGUUUAUUAUUUUCUGUUUUCCCGGUUACUUACAUUUUGCAAAAAUGCCACCCUGAUUUUACUUUUCACUUUAUUUCCUGAUAUCAAGAAGAUCUGUAUAGGGAUAAUCAGGGUGACGUUUUUGUGGUUAAAAGUCAAACCAAAACAAGCUGUAAUGUGUUCUGUGAUGAUUUGACGUCAGAAAACUUUCAGUUUCAUUUUGCUGUACCUGUUUGGUUAAUUAUUAACUUUUAACAAUAACUGUUAGUCUUGAAAUAUAAAUGAUAUAUUCUGUAAGUUUAUUUCUCAGCACCAUAAUAAAAAAUUUAUAUGCUAUUGUUGGAUAAUUUACUGUUAAUUCUAUAGCUGAAAUAUUGUUUCUUACUUUUUUAGAAGGUUAACGACUAUGUAUAUUGUUUAAAAUAUAGUAAUAUAAACUUACAAACUUUAUGACAGAUAAGAGUCAUUGAGCGGAACUGUGAAAUUCCUCACGAGGGGCCAUUUUGUGAUCUAAUGUGGAGUGAUCCUGAAGAUAUUGAAACGUGGGCAGUCAGUCCACGUGGAGCAGGUUGGCUUUUCGGAUCCCGGGUUACAUCUGAGGUAAUGUCAUGGAUUGUCAAUUGCUUAUUGAAUUGAGCUUUAUGUGUGGGUUUUACUGAUUCAUUCUUUUCAUGCAGUUCAAUCACAUAAACAACCUUGAUCUUGUUUGUCGGGCACAUCAACUUGUACAAGAAGGACUUAAGUACAUGUUCCAAGAUAAAGGCCUUGUAACUGUAAGUAUCUGAAUCUUAUAAAAAUUUAAGAAGACUUUGAUGAUUCGUUUUUUUGAUCAACUGGUCUUUUGAGGUGUUUCGUCCGGUCAUGUUAAAAGACUAUAAAGGCUCUAGUCUGAAAUAGUCCAAUCAAUAGGGGGUAAAGGCUCUAGUAUUUUAAGUAAGUGAGCUUAAGCUUACUGUUUGAGGGGACUCAAUUAUUGUCAGGUGGGGGAGCAUUGUGGGGCAAAAUCAGGCUACUACAGCUUCUCCGUUGCUGAGUAUUUUGGAGUAGUUGUCGUGGGUGUUAUCCCUCAAUCUUAUCCCAUAAAUAUCUAAGGAUGAAUACAUCCAGACUAGCUCAAUUUACAGACAAAUCACUUGAGAAGGGCUUUUUCCCAUUUACUAAUCCAUUUAGAUGGUCCCACCUUGUGGGAUAAUUUGCUUGGUAGCUAUUGUAUUUAAUUUUCUAAAAAUAAUGAUUCCAGAUUUAUUUGAAAAUAUUGAGCUAAAUAAGGUAUUUUUUAAAUUUGCAGGUAUGGUCUGCACCUAAUUAUUGUUACCGUUGUGGAAAUGUAGCUUCUAUUCUUAGUUUCAAUGAAAAUAUGGUGAGUCAACUGAAGCAUUUUUACUUUUAAGUACAUUUUAAGGAAUGUCUUGAUUGUUGCAUAAUUUGGUCUCAUGGUGUAUGUGUGCCUUUGUUUUUUUGCGUAUCUCAUGGAAAGAACUUUUCACUUUAUUCUGUUUUUCUUUUUAGCAUCCAAUAGUAUUUCUUCUUGUAUGGCCUUCAUGUUAAAGAAAUCAAGAGACAGAGGAGAAUACAUUUCUCUUUACUCCUAUAGUUGUUGGAAGUAAGAGGCAUUUAUUUUAAAAAUUUGGAUGGUGCUAUUAUGCAAAACAAUGACUUCUUUGAGGGAUAGUUGGCGCGUCCAAUACCAUUGGAACACAUGUAUGCAUGACAUGUCAGAUUGUCAGUCACAUAUGGGGUAUCAGAGAAAGUACUUUUGAAUGACUGUUACCAAUAUAUAUCAUGUACCCGAUGGUAUCAGCGAUUUAGAUGCUUUACAAUAUUUCUUCUUAGUUCAAAGUGUUUGCUUUAAUGUUAGAGGAUUUUCUCAUGAAAUUGGAUGGUGAAAGGGAGGUCAUUAGGGAUGAAAAUAACAGGAGAAUAUGGCAAUUGCAUUUCCCCCCUGAAGCUGCUAAUGCCUGUUAAGAUCAGUUUUAAAUACAAAUAUAUCAUGACGUGUCCCAAGGCUUUAAACUUUGAACAAACUAAAAUCAUAAAAAUAUUUACAAAGAAACCAUAUUAAAAAAUCAAUUAAUCUGCAAAGGAAGUUACUAAUUUUCUUGUAGAUGGCUGUUGAAAUUUUAGGAAUCAGAUGUAAAGAAAAGAAAUGAGAUGUAGAUCGAAUGCAUGAAAAUAUUAGUGUACUAACGAGGCUUUGAUUAGCUGCGAUAUAAAUUGUAAUACAUAUAAAACAGACCCAAUUUUUUAUAUACUAAACUAUGACUUAAAAAGACCAAAAUGUUGAAAAAAAGUUGUUUAGGACACUAGAAACUAAAGUAGGACAUAAUUGACAUGCUCAGACUGGAAAGUGGUAUGAUUGGUCAGUGUCGAUCUGGGAAGGUUUUCAACUAUGAGCUCUGGUUUCCCUGUGAUCGGAUUUCCCUAAUUCUAAUAGCAGGAUCUAUUUGGCAAGAUGAUAAGAUGACAAUUUUAGUAGGAUUUUUGGGCAACUGAACGGUAAAACAUCAAUAAGCUUAGGCAACAGAGAGAUUGGAAAGGCAUCUGUGGGAACUCUGUGGUCCAAAUGAGGGCGCAGCCUUCUCAAGGAAUGACAAAAAUGGGGUGUUGCGACAAUGUAUGAGGUGGCUGGCAGGAUAGAUCAAAGAUCAAACAGGAAUUAAUGUAACCUUAAAACAGAACAAAAAUAGUGGGUAACAAAUGUAGUCAAAAUUUUGGAGACUUGCUGCAGAACUUAAACCAAAGGUCGUGCCCGAUGUGUGAAAAAUUGGAAGAUAUAUGAAAGCAACAUGAACAUAGAUUUUUCUUACGAGACUGAGUAACUGUGAUGCCAUACCCUUGAUUUAUUUACACAAUUGUUUGACUAUGAAAAGAAAAAUAUUCCCUUUAUUUUGGAUUGCUCUGUAAGUAGUAUUGGACCUCAACAUUGUUAUAAUUUGGUUUGUAUUUUUGGUAUCGAUCUCUACAUACUUGCAGUUACAGUUUUAACCUUUAUGAUAAAUGCUAGGAACACUCUUUUUAACACUCACUCUCCUAUUGAAUGAAACUCUUGUAGUGUCACCACUUUAUGUGGGAUCCAUUUCCAAAGUGUGGUACCUACAUAAAUUUCACUCAAUAAGAGAGUUGAGUGUUAGAGUAUUUUAGAAAGAGUGUCCGUAUCACUCCCUCCUCUAACCUAUUUAGAUCCUUCACUACAAGGGAUAUAUAUCCUUGUCUAGUCACACAACUGCUUUUUGAGUUAGGCUGUAUGUCUGGUCCAAUCCAAUAGUUAAAAAAACUCAAUAAAUAAAAUAGAAAAGGGGGUCAACAAAUACACUUUCUUAGUUACAUAAUAAGCACGUAGUUUUGAACUCAUUUUCAAUUUUUGGUGUUGGAAAUAGUUGGGCUAUGGCUGGUACAUGCCGUUAAGGCGACAAUUACUUUGUUUUUUUUUUUUUUCUCUUUAAAUGCUGUAUCCCUGCUAUUUAUUUGAUUUGAUCUUAAGGUGGUAAAUGUACUUAACUCUGUGUCAGGCCUAGUGAAAUUACUGCUUUGUAACAUGCACAUUUGUGUGUUGAAACAUUUGUUUGUGUCAUGAAAGUGCAUAGAUAUAAUACAUGCUAUCUUGUAAACUUGGAUUUUGAUGGUUGUUAUCCUGCUUAUAUGUUACUAGCAUUUUGGUUGCUGACCCUAGGAUGUUUUCUUGUAACAGGAGAGAGAAGUUAAGUUUUUCACUGAAACAGAGGAGAACAAUCAGAUGAGAGGGCCUAGGACAGGUGUUCCAUAUUUCUUAUAAUUUGGCAAAGGUUUGGGUGAAUUUAUUGUAAAAUUAUGCAGUAAAUGGCUUUCUAUUAUGAUUGGACAGUGUUAGUCAUGUAUUGUGGAGAUUCAAAUGCAUUGUUUUUUCUUAGGUGAACUCUAUUUUUGUUUUAGUAUUUUUUGUCUUCCACCAAAUAUUUAACAUUCUAGUUUCGCAAUCUUUUGUACAAUACAAUAUUGAAAAGUGUAUUUCUCAGUUCUCACGAUGAAAAAGUACAGUGAUAUAUGCAAGUUCGUUACAAGUAUGUGGCACUUUUCACCUACAUAUUUUUGUUACAAAAAAAAUGAAUAACGAAUCUCAACUCAAGCAUACAUUUUCAUCACCAUCCUUUUCUAUGUUGUUUGAACGAGGUUUCUAGGAAUGUAAUUGUUAUAAAUGGAUUUCCAUAUAAUUAAAGUAAAGUAAUUUGGCAGAUGAGAAUACAUGAUAGUAUGUUACGGUGGUAUGGUGUUACUUAUUCUUCAGCAGUAAAAUUACCGGCAAAAAAGUUAUUAUCAGGCAAAGAAAGAACCAAGUCUCAAUAUUUUGAAAGUGUUUUUUUACAGGCAAUGUUAGACAAUAAGAUCUUUGUUUUAACAAUCCCAUUCGAGUUAUGCUUUGAAUAUGUAUUUUGAAAUCUUUGGACAACAUCCCAAUCUUAUUCUGCAGAGGUUCAAAAAUAGUGAGUGAGCUACGAGUGAUAACAGGGCCAACUACAACUCUUGUGAAACAAAAAUGUGAGAGCAGGAGCAACAAGAAGAGUUGGAAAGACAUUAAUUUCUGUUUUUUUUUUUUUUUUUUUUACACUAUUAAUCAAUCAUAACCAUUGGAUUAUUGAAAACUUUUGACUUUUAAGUUUGGUUACUUUAAAAGUCAUUCAAACUAGUGAUUGUGAUUUAUCGACAAUGUUACUUGACAACAUAUAAAAAUUAAUUUUUUAUUAAAAUGUAUAACUUUUCCUUCGAAAAAAGAAAUUAAAAUGUAUAGCUUUUUUGUGAUUAAAAAAGUUAAAACAAACUAUUUUUUCUCUAAACGAUGAAAUGUGUCUGGUUAAAAUAUACUCUUUUGCCUUUUGAACAAACUUAUUCUACCGUGUCUACAAAAAAAGUUUAUUCUACCAUAUAAAAAAUGACAAUUGAACUCAAAACAUACCUAAGAGCAUUUAGAUGAGAUAAUAAGUGAUUUUUUCGAGCCUAAUUAGAGGUCAUAGGUUUGAAUUAAGCCCUACAAGAAAAUGCGGCAGUGUUAACCAUUGGGGUCGUAUCCAAUUGCGAGUAGAGAAGUUAUUUUUUGCAACGUCUAAUAUAUUUAUUAUCUUAAAAGAAACUGAUAUACUUAUUACAUUAAGUUGAACAUAAAAAAAAAAAAAACUAAAUAAAUUGAACUACAAUGAAUAAAAAAUGAGACUACCUAUAAAAAGCAUUACAAAAGCAAUUGGGAAUAAUAAAAACUAAAUCCGCGAGGAGGAGCCAUGGAGAGGGUAGUCGUGUUAACAACAUAGAGGAGGUGUGAUCUCCGUUGUUCUUCCAAGGCAGAGAUAGCGGCGAUCCAGCCAAAGCUGAUAGCAGAUCACCAUCAACGAGACAGCCGAAAACAAGAGAGCCAAUGCGAAGAACACAAAUUCUACACGACGAUGGUGGUGAGCCUUGGUAAUAUCAUGGUUUCUUUCUGCGAAGAUCAGGAUCAUGUUUGGUAAAUGUGAUCGGACUGAGAAGAUUGAGGCUGAAAAUAUCUUGCAAACCAAGAAACUUCGAAAGAGAGGAGUGUGGGUUUUAUGUAUUCCAGGUGUUGCUGAAGGUGUAUGUAUUUUGCACAAGAUUAAAUAUAUUGUUUAACAUGUUAUGACGAUUCCAACUAUCAAUACUAGAUGAAUGUUGUCUAGUAGGGAGGCAUACCUUCACUCUCCAGAUGAUUCUUUUUAUCGGUGAAUGACUUGCGAGCUGCCAAAUGAUCUUCCAGAUUCUACUUUCUUUGAGAUGUUCACUAUCAACUUAAUUUGUUAAAGCUAGGUGUUAAUAUUAAGAUGAUCUCAUUGAAUAACACUUUUCUUCAUCUAGUUCCAAACCAACUUGUCUUUCAUAGCCAAUGCAAUUAAAGGUGUGACUAAGAUGCAUUGGCUUCUGCAUAACAUCUUCUCAUUGAAUAAUUUUCAUUCUAAUAUGAAUGUAUGAUAGUUGGGAAUUUGGAAAAUGCUGCCUUACUUGUAGAGCAAGGAAUAGAAAAUCAAGAGAAGGGAGAAAAAUAUUCAUUCCCAUCACACUGAAAUUGAAAUAAAAUGCUCAAGGGUUUGUUCUUACUGCCACUUUCUUUUGCCUAGAGUUUUCUGCAUGUUUCUGGAUGGUACAGAAGACAUAUAGGCUUGUGUUUUGCUCCUUAUGAAGGCAACUUUAUUAGCUCAUUGGAUUUUUAUGUCAUUGGUAAUUUGAUUAGCCUUGUUGGAUUUUUAUACCCUUACAUUUAAACCCUCACCCCAAUAUUUGACAUGAACUAUCUAUUUUACCUUGUUUAUAAACUUAAAACACUUCAUUUUUUCAUUUGUCUCACAAAAUUUUUCAAACGUUUCUGGUUUGCUAAAGAGAGAGUGAAAGAGUAAGUAUCAAUUGCUAUAUUGGAAAACAAUUUUUUAGCUUUCCGGUUUGGAAGAUUCCUCCGGAAAUCAUUAUUUAUCUCUUCCGGUUUGCGUUUUUCUACCGGAAAACAUCAUUUACCUCUCCCGGUUUGUGUUUUUAUACCGGAAACCUCAUCUGAUCGUUUCCGAUUCAGACAUAGCUUCCAGAAAACUCAAAUGAACUAUUCCACUUCAAUUCUGCAUUUCGGAAAACCCAUAGGAAGUGUUCCAGUUUAAUUUGAUCUACCGGAAAACAUAAAACAUGUGUUCCAGUUUAGAAGGGCCCAAAAAGUUGUGGACACGCUGGAAGAAACUCAAAAGGCCCAAAAGUUGGUCGAAGACUUCUAGAAGCUAUGCGCCUCAACUACUACCGACGUGGAGAUUGUUCUUCAUUUUUAUGUAGAUUGUAUAUUUUAUUGCUCAACUUAGUUUAUUAGUUGACUAGUACAUAAGGUAGAAGCUUGACUCUUUCACUUGUAUCAUUUUUCUUUUAUCUUCAAUACAAACUUUUUAACCUUUCUCUCUCAUAUCCUCUGGUAAGUGGUAUCAUGUUUCUCAACAGACAUGAAUCAAUAAUUCUUGUUGAACAACUUCGUAUUACGAUCAAUCCAAAAGACGAUCCAAGACCAAUUUCACAACUCUAGGAGCAUCAACUGUCACAGCUACUUUUACUGUUGGCAUAUUGCACCAUUCAGUGACUUCACCAAACCUGGUUUAUUACAAACAGAAAAAAGAUAUAAGUGAGGUGGCAUAUAAUAACGGUAACGCAAAGACAAAGUCGACAAAUUUGCAAUACAAGAUGAAGACAAGAUAUCAUUACAAAGAGGCUUUUGUUCAACCCCCUCUUCCUAAAACAUCCAUUAUAUUGAACUUUUUCAAUGUUGAAAGCAGUUAAAAAGAGAGCAAACAAUGCCCAAAUGCUCUAUUAUAGAUCAUAUCUUUAGCCGAAAUAUUGACCUCAAAGUCUUUCUUAAUAGUUUUUCUUACAAUUUUCUAGGUCUUUCUCUGUCUCUAGCAAUUGGACUACCCUUCAUCUGAUUUACUUUGUUUACUAUGCAAUCUACAUAUUUCUUCCACAAAUUCCCAAAUCACCUAAGUCGAGAUUCAACCACCCGUUCUACAAUAAGGUCCUACCGCUUGACACUAGCUUUUAAAGUAAGAUUUCCUCAUUUUCUUGUGUUCUUAUCAAAGGAGCACACUGUCCCUCAGCAAUCAGGAACGAGCUUAACAUACUCUAGGUUAUGCUCUCUAUUCUGCUAAAACACUACUCACCAUCAGAGUAUCCCUGUCAUCAUGUCCGGUCCAGCAAGGUACAUGACAAAACCAACUAAGAGGGAUAAGCUUGGUGGUAAUUGUUGUUCUUUAGAGAAUGUUUCAGGACAAAAUUCAAUCCCAAUACCAUCUUAAAAAACUAUUCUGCAUAAUUUCGGUUUGGAAAGAACUGUUAGGAAAUGAGCAUUAGCAUCCCAUAUGAAUAUAGAUAAAUUGAAAAAAUUAUCCCAAGCCCUCCAAGGCCUUAUAUCAACUGCUAGGGGUUUCUACCUUUUCUGUUUAUUUUCGAGUAUUGUAAGUCCCCUUGUAAUACCAUUGGUUUGGACUCUAACGACACCCUCCGUGAAGGUUACAAGUGAAGGAUCAACGACUGCAAGCAACGCUGUUGGGUCAUGAAGGUAAAUUCCUGUAUAAAAAAACUAUAAUUCAUAAAUCAGAUGAUUAAUUCUCUCCGAUUUAUUUGGUGCAGUAUGAAGACUAACCUUUGAUGUUGUAUGCCUUACAAUAGUUAGAGAAAUACACCUCUAAGAUUCCAUUCAAGUAUUGAGCAAAUUUUCCUUUUGAACUUGCCAACUUUUCUCGAUCAGAACCUAGUCAUUUUGUUUUUUGGAUAAGGGUAAACCAAAACAAAUGUGACAGAACAAAACAACUGACAUGAAUCAAAAUUAAAAUAGCAGCAUGAUCAUGUUGUUCGACAUGAAUCAACAAAGAGUUCCAAUGGGGGGUACCUGUAAAUACGACUUGUUGUGUAACGUUUAUCCCCACAGCAAGAACAUCUGCGCCACUUGUGAAUACAACAUCUGCAGCAUCUGGAUCACCUAAUAUCUGGAAUCAAAUCCAACUGAAAAUUUAGAUAGAUCAAGCGGUGAGCGGUAUGACAGUUUUAUGGAGUUUAUUUCAAGAAUUUGAAUGAAAAAUGGAAAUACUUACAUUUGUUUCAGCAGAAGGAUUCACACUUCCAUUUACUGCAAAAGCUCCACCAAGCAGAACAAUCUGACCAAUGUUCUUAGAAAAUUCCGGGUCCAUCUGUAUAGCCUGCCAUGCAGAAUUUUGUCGUGUGACAAAGUACGAAGAGUAACAAAUAACAUAGUUGAAAUUGCAAACAUAUCAUACCAAAGCAAUAUUUGUAAGAGGACCUAAUGCCACAACCGUGAUUUUUCCACGGUUAGCUUUUGCUUGGUUAACAAAAAAAGCAGCAGCUGAUUCUUCAAGGGGUUUUCCAUUUGGUGGUGGAAAAUUUUGGUUGCCAAGUCCAUCUGCACCAUGGACAGAAUCCCUAAUAUGAAGUUUUGUUUCUUUCUGUAAAAGUGAAAUGAGUGAAAAUAAUUAGUCAAGUCAAAUACCAAGUUAUACUACAUAUCAACUAAUUUCAUACUGCAAUUUCUAAGUGACCUCAUCGGCGAGGCAAUCAAUAACAAUGCAUUUGAAAGGGAUACACAGAUUCAACGACACAGAAUCUGACACGUUGACACCAAUAAUAAAUGAUUGAGUGUAACCACAUGUUUCCCGACACUGGACAUGUCUUUAAUCUAAAGUAUUGGUUCUACAUGCAGCUAGCAGAUGACCUUGGUUGCGUUGUGGUCAUAGAGACAUUGAAAACCUUGAAUCGCGGCAAAAGGACCUUCUUUUAACAACUUAUCAAAGUAGAUAUACGAGUUGUUACACACUUACAGUUAAUGUGACAUGAGAUCCUUCAGCAACUGGUAUAUCAGUUCUUCCAGCAAACUCCAACUACACAAAUGCAAAUUUAGUAUCAAAAGCGGAUUUCAUCACUAAUACUGUUUUGAAUUCAACAAGAGUGGAACAACAAGCAAAUAGGGAAUCAACCUAGAAAAAAUUUAGAACAUAUGUGUAAUGCAAAUGAAAAUCAUCAAUCCAACAAGAAGAUAAAGAGAGUAGAGAAACAAACACACCAAAAUUAUUUACCCUAUUCGGCUUAAAUUGACCUACGUCUGCGGGAGAGAGCAGUUCUCCAAUCUACUAUCAAUGAGUCUUUACAUGAGAUACACAAGACGUUACAAGAAAUUAGCUCUCCAAUACAUAGAUUUUAAGGUACAUUAGAACAAAAACAAAAACAAAUUCAUCACUUAAACAAUAACAAAACAAAGCAUUACCAAGUGCAAGGCAUUUCUGGUAGCAAGAGUAGUAUAAACAUUUCCAUAAAUAGUAGUAAGUCCAAUAACUUGAACUUCUGGUGAUCUUAGAGCAAGGAAUAUUGCCAUAGCAUCAUCUAUAGAAAUAAAACCAAUCACAAUAUUAUGAUCAAAGUCAAAGAAACAUGGAAUUUGAAAAAUCAAACAUAGACAAAGAGCAAAAAAAAAAAAAAAGUAUAUGUUGUGUAUUAAUUGCUAUUAUUUACCGAUUCCAGGGUCAGUAUCAAUUAUGAUCUUCUUUGGUUCCUUUUGGGCUGCCAUGUGAUUUGAUGACUCUCUUGAGCAGAAGUGAGUGAUGAUUUAUGAGUUAUUACUAUGACUUAUUUGAAGAUACAUCGACACGUAAGUAUCUUUGCAUGGUGCUUUUAUUUACUGCUGCAACAAUUAAUCUACUACUACAACAAAACUAGUAAAAUACCAUGCAUAGAGGAUACUCGAAAUGUGUGUCAAAAAGAGAAAUUGCGUCUAAACCAAAUACAUCAUCAUAGUCACAAGACAUCAUGAGUCAAAAAGAAAAUUCUGGACACAAUUUAUUUGACAAAAUUAUUUGAUUUUGACUAAAAGUAUAGGUAUAAGUAUUUUUCAUUUUCAUUCUGUAUUAUACAAUAUUUUUUUUUUCAACGACACUAAUAAUAUAAUAAAUAUAAUAUAAAUUCUUAUAAUUUUGAUCAUGACACCAACAGCAUAACAUUCUUGUAGGCAUUUUUUUUUAAUUAACGAGUUUAGGGAUUGGGUAAUUAUGUAUAUCUUUUUUUCCUCUUGUUUGGUUGUGAUGGUUGUAAGCUUUUGAGACAUUUGCUCUCCUCUAGUAUUAUGUUUGAGCGGACUUUUUUUCUGGUAAUAUAUUUUAUUUUGGUUUUUUUUAAAAAAAAAAAAAAAAAGAGAGUCCAAACCAUGUAUUCCCUUUAUAUACCACGCCUAAAUUUAAUCCCCUAAAAAAACUUAAAUUUAAUUCCUCUGAAAAAAAUACUAAAUUUAAUCAAACAAUUAAUUAUUUAAUUAAUGAUAUUUCAUUAAAAAGAGGAGAGAUGGAUGAAAUGAUGAGUAAAGAGGCAGCGAUAGUCUCCUCCCUCCGAGUCUUCACAAUUGAUUAGGAAAAUAGGUCGAUAAAAAAGAGGCAACAAUGGUCUUAUGACUUUUAUCUAGGCAACAAUGGUCUUCACAAAUAGUUGAGUUUUUUGUGAAAAUAAUUUUAAAUUUUUAUUCUAAAAAGUUGGAGGUAAACUUUCCCAUAAAAAAUUUGGAGGUAAACAUUUUGUCAAACAAAUAAAUUGAAGCAUGAAUUGAAAAUUAUUUUGUAGCUAAAAAAAAAUGAAAAUAAUUAGCGGUAUUAUGACUUUUAUCUAGGCUACGUGUAAUUUGUCAGACUUACAACCAUGGAUAGCUAACAAUUUUUCAAAAUAAAAUAAAAUUAUAGAUAGCUAUCCAUGGUUAGUCUAUAGGUAACGCCUCUUACAAGUUUAAAUAACACCGACAUCUUUAUCCACAAUUUAGUGACGGCUUGGUGCACUAUACAUAAAACAUUACAGUGGCCACGGGGUUGUGGCUAAAUGCUGUGGGUGAUGACAAAUUUUCUUGUAGUGGAAGUAGGGUAAAUGAAUGGAAGAUUAAAAUAAAAAAUGAAGAGAUUACAAAUGAUAACAAAUUAAAGAAGGAGAAAUAAAAGGAUUAAAGAUAAAAGAUUAAAUAAUAGAAGGAGGGAGAAUUAUGAUAGGAGAUUAUGAAAGGUUAAAGAGAAGAAGAAGAAAUGAUAAGUGGGAAUCUUCAAUAUUCGUUCUCGUGCUUGAACAUAUCAAAUGUUUUUGUAAUUAUCAAAUGAGUUGUAUUUAUGAGACUAAUUUUUAUAUAUUUUUUAAAGUUGUCUUCUUUGUUUGAUUUUGAGUAGGUCAUUUGUACUCAUAUUUUAAUGUUAUUUUUUCUAGCUACAUCCCUAAAAUAUUUUGUUACACUUUCCACCUCUGUAAAAGUUUCUUCCCUUUUUCAUAGUCAUGGUCCAAGCUUAAGAAUUACUCAUAAUUUUCAAUUUUACCAUAUACAUUCAUUUUGUUUAAAUUUUACCAUAUACAUUCAUUUAGUGUUUUCAAGCAAACAACUACAUAUGUGUAACUUGCAUCAUAUCCUUCAACCUUCUCUAUAUCUUUAUUAUUAUUUUUUAAGAAUAAAUAGUAGACACUUGUCUUGACGUUUAUAAACUAAAAUAGUGUUUUUAUAUAGUCGUCCAUAUUUAAUUUAUAGUAUUUGAAUAAAAAUGGAUUGAACUUUUACUUCCUAAUGUUCUAUAUUAUUGAUAUUUAUAUAAAGAUUCUAUUUUUAGACUAUACAAAAAAAAAUUAGGGCUAAAUUACUCUGUCACCGAGUAAAUUGAGUCAUAUCAUAAAAACCCAAAAAUAAAUAAAAUAGGACAUUCAUAUAAAUUAUAUACACGGUAUCAUAUAAAAUAUAUCAUUAUAAAAUUAUAUUGAUCAUUUUAUUUUGUCAUUUGUCCUAUUUUUCUAUUAAGACUAUAGGAAGGCUGGUUCUUAGAAAGAUUAAUGAGAACCACCUUCCUAUAGUCUACAGAAACAGCCUUUACACCCACUUGAGAUUUCCUAGAACAAAAUUCACCAAAUUCGCCAAAGGGUCAUAUCAAACACAAACCACUUCUUGAACUCUAGGUGUUGCAGCCACAUAAAGCAUACUUUGCUGAAGGUGUAUCUUGUAUGUGAUCUGCACAAGAUCAGAUAUAUUUUUUCACAUGUAGGUGUUGCAUCCCCUCACUCCAUUUUUUUUUUUUUUACCUGUAAACGAGUUGCAAUCCGCAGAAUGAUUGUCAGUUUCCUCUAGCUUUGAGAUUUUCAUUAUCAAUUAAAUUGGCCAUUGCUAGGUCAUAAGACGAUCUCUCCGAGUACAGACUUGUCUCUGUCUGGUUUCAACUCAAUUUGUCAUUCAUAGCCAAUGGAAAUUAAAGGAGUAGCCAAAAUAGCAUUGGUUUCUGCAGAACAUAAUAUCAAGAUAUUAUGAAAUCUAAUGUUAAAUUCUAACAGGACAUAUAACAAGAUUUUCCUUUUACCUUUUAAUAAUUUGAAUUGAACAAAUUAUAAUAAGUAUUCUACACAAUGUAUGAUAAUUGGGAUUGGAAUGUCAAUUUAAUCGGCGAAGGCAACGGGAAUUUGUAAAAUGCUGCCUUACUUGUAGAUCAAGGAACAGCAAAUAAAGAGAAGGGAGCAAGACAAUCAUUCCUAUCACAUUGUAAUUAAAAUUGAAAUAAAAUGUAAAAUAAAAGUAACGCUCAAGAGCUUUGAAGUGAGCAGUCUUGUGCUUAAUCAACAAUGCUAAUUGAACGGCUGUGUAGCUUCUUCAAACCAAAAGACGAUCCAUGACCAAUUUCACAACUCUCGGAGCAUCUACUGUCACAGCUACUUUUACUGUUGGCAUAUUGCACCAUUCAGUGGUUUCGCCAAACCUGGUUUAUUACAAACAGAAAAAAGAUGUAAAAGUGAGGUGAUGCAUAUAAAAAGUUGACAAAAUUUUCAAUACAAGAUGAAGAUAAGAUAUCAUUGCAUAGAGGUUUUUCCGACUACCCUUCCUAAAUCAUCCAUUACAUUGGACUUUUUUAAUCAUGAAAGCCAUUGAAAAAAGAGCAAAGUGUCUAAUUAGUUCUUCCAAUCUUUGCAUGCCAAAACAUUAGUUUUCUUCAGAGAUUUUAUCGUUAUAUUACAACAACUGAUCCUUAUACACUAGGUGGAGUUGACUGCAAGGAUUAACUAUGUCAUAGUGUUCAAUCACAAAUCAUAUCUCUUGCCCAAACACUGACCUCAAAUUUAUCCCUAAUAGUUUCCCCUAUAGAUUUUCUAGGUCUUCCCCCGACUCUUGCAAUUGGAGUAACCUUCAUUUAACCUAAUCUCCUACAUUCAAUCUACAUAUCUUCUCGACACAUGUCUAAAUCACCUAAGUCGAUAUUGAACCAAUUAUUCUACAGUAAGGUGCUAUCCAUAUUCUCUGGUUAAUGCUAACAUUUCUAAUUCUAUCUAAUCUAGUUUAUCCUCAUGUACAAUGGAACAUUCUCAUACAAACCACUAAAUAAGGGAGGUAUGGAUAAUACCAAGAUUUUGAACGAAACCCAACAUCUGGAGCCAAAAACUGAACCAAGCCCAAUAGGGAGGAAAAAGUCAACUAAUCCAACCAUAACUCAUACCCAAUUGUAGAGGACAUUUGAUCAUACUAACCUACCAAUCAACUAGGGUACCUGAAACCAAAAUUCAUAACUAAAUGGACAAGUCAUCAAAGCACCCAAAUUCUUAUAAAAAUGGACAAGUCAUCAAAGACAGAAAAACUUUAACAAAAUAUCCUCCCUAACAAUUGCAAUAAGAAGGGUGAUGGGGAGUUAUGGAUAAAAUGGAAGCCCAUGUAUGUCCCACAUCUAAUCUUAUGAGGUGAUCAACGGAGUAUUUUCCUGCUUAGUUUUCCCCCCUUGACAGCUAGAUAUUAAGGGAAUUAGGUUUGUCAAGCGUUUGAGUUCUUAUGAAAUGGUAUCAUUGUUGGUUGCAGGUGUCUCAGAAAGAGAUGACUAACAAAAGCUAAUCGAAAAAGGUCGAGAAAAGUAACGGACAGUGCAGCCUCCAAGACAUCGUCUCUCAUGGUUAUGAUAUGGACUUGGGCGUUAUGGAGUGCUCAUGUCUUACACCGAGUAGUAUGGAAUGGUUGGUAGAGUACCUGUGUGGCUUAGUUCUUCCCCCUUGACAACUAGCUUUUAAAGUAGGGUUUCCCCAUUGCUUGGGUUCUUAUCAAAGGGGUACACUGUUCCUCAGCAAGCUUCCCCCUUUUAGCCCAUACAAAAAGGGGUACACUUAUCAAAGGGGUACACUGUCUCUCUUCAGAUAAAACACCAUUCACCAUAGGAGUAUCUUUGUAGUUAUCCCUGUCUAGCAAGAAAGUUUGACACUAUGCUUGCACUUUUCAUUAUCUGAGUGUCUAAUAAGCGAGAUCAUUCUUAAUCUCUGUAGUCAAUUAGAAUUAGCACAUCACUCUACAAGGAAUAAAGGAAAGGAAACACAGGUUUAAAUUCUUACAAUCCAAACUCCUACCAAACUUUAGCUUAAAUCAUUUAUGGAAAAUUUACUUCCUUCUCCUAAGGAAUUACGCUGGCCACUAAAAUUUAUCCUAAUUUUUGGGUCUUCAUCUGACACCAACUUUUUUUUGUUAAAUUACAAUCAGACAAUAUUUUACAAGAGUCAAUGAUAUUCUCUGAUCCAUGUAGCAAAAUCCACCAAGUGGGAUAAGCUUGGUGGUGGUUGUUGUUCUUUAGAGAAAGUUUCACUACAAAAUACAAUCCCAUAGCAUCUUAACAAACUACUUUGCAUAAUUUUGAAAUAAAUAGAAUUGCUAUAAAAUAUGCAUUCACAUUCAUAAGACUAGAUAAAUUUCAAAAAAUAUAUAUUUGCCCUAGUCCUCCAAGGUUUUAUUAUAUCAACUGCUAGUGAUUUCUACCUUUUCUGUUUAUUGUAGAGUACUGUAAGUCCCCUUGUAAUGCCACUGGUUUGGACUCUAACAGAACCCUCCGUACAAGUUACAAGUGAGGGAUCAACAGCAGCAAGCAACGUUGUUGGAUCAUGAAGGUAAACUCCUGCAUACAAAAACAAUAAUUAAUAAUUCAGAUGAUUAGGUAUCUCCCAAUUCUUUGAUGCAGUAUGAAGACUAACCUUUGGUGUUGUAUGCGUCAUGAUGAUAAGAGAAAUACACCUCUAAGAUUUGGGUCAAGUAUUGAGCAAACUUUCCUUUUGAACUAGCCAACUUUUCUCGAUCAGAACCUAGUCAUUUUAUUUUUUCAGAUCAGCGUAUACCGGAACAAAUUUAACAGAACAAAACAAGUGAGAACCUUGAUAAAUGAGAACAUCAUGUACAAAAGAAAAAUGCUACAGAUAGAUUCAAGGUGAACAUACUGUGCUACCUUAGAAAAAAACAAAUUCUAAUUUGCAUCUCUACUCCCCAUUUUUCCUAAAUUUUUAGCUAUUAAUCAAAGGUAUUCAGAAAAUACUACUUUAGUUCGGGAGACAUCUAUGAAAUCUGUUGAGCUGAAAAUUUUAUUUAUUUUAAAUAUAAAAGUUUAAAAUAGUCGCAUAAAGUAGUGCUGGAACAUGAUGCAUAAUUCCUGAAAGGAAAAGCAAAUUAAAUUAUCUGUUGAAGAAUUACGUCAAACACAUAAGAUAUAUCAAGAGAUGAUUAUUCACUUAAAAAAAUGCCUAUACAAGUAUAGAAAUAAUGAGUGCAUGGGAAUUGACAAUGCGGUACCUGACAAUACGACUUGGUGAGUGACAUUUAUUCCCACUGCGAGUAUAUCUGCGCCACUUGUGAACACAACAUCUGCAGCAUCUGGAUCACCGAAUAUCUGGAAUCAAAUCCAAUUGAAGAGUUAGAUAGAUAUAUCAAGCAGCGACUGAUAUCAUUUUUUUUAAUGGAAUUUAUAUUAAGAAAUUGAAUACAAAAUAGACAUACUUACAUUUGCUUCAGCAGCUGGAUUCACAUUGCCAUUUACUGCGAAAGAUCCACCAAGUAGAACGAUCUGUCCAAUGUUCUUAGCGAAUUCUGGGUCCAUCUGUAUAGCCUGCCAAAAAUAAACUUGGCAUGAAACAAAGUGUGAAGAGACGAUGAGAAAAUGACAAAUUGGACAUUGCAAACAUAACAAACCAAAGCAAUAUUUGUAAGAGGACCCAAUGCCACGACAGUGAUUUUUCCGGGGUUAGCUUUUGCUUGGUUAACCAAAAAAGAAGCAGCUGAUUCUUCAAUGGGUUUCCCAUUUGGUGGUGGAAAAUUUUGGUUGCCAAGUCCAUCUGCACCAUGGACAAAAUCUGCAAUGCGAAGUUUUGUUCCUUUCUGUAAACAUAACAUGGAUUACCAAAAUUAAUCAAGUCAAAAUCUCGGUAUACAUUUUGAAGGAAUACAGAGAUUUCAACAAGCAGCUUAUAUAGUUUGAUCAUCUUUUCAAACUUAAAAAAGUGCCAAAACUCAAAGACCACUCAAGUUGAUGUGAGGGAGCGAAAGAUAUAAUGUGUUCCUCUCUGAGAAUUUCAAGUGUGCAGACUAUGUAAUAUGUAAUACAUAAAGCAUAAAGGGUCCCACUGCAUGACUUAGUGGGAUGCAUUUGAAUAACAACCAAUUAAAAAGCUUGUGCUGAAAAGAGUGUGUUGGAGAGUGUGCUCCUCUUAUCUAUAUGCACUAAAGAUCACAUAUACUAAUGGCCUGUUUGGAUUGGCUUAUUUGAGCUUAUCUACUGGCUUAAAUUUUGUGGCACUGUUUGGGACAACUUGUGAAAACAGCUUAUGACAAUUUUCAAAAGCUUUUUUCAGCUUAUUUUCAAAGUUCUCUAAUAUAGCUUAUAAAAAAAAAUUAUAGCAUAUACAAAAACAAUUUAACUUUAUUUUAUCCUUUACUAUGGAAAUAGCUUACAUGAGCUUAUAAAUAAGUGCUUAUCAUGAUAAGAGCUUGUGCUAUAAGCUGGAAAUAAGAUGUUUAUCCCAACAGGCCCUGGUUCUAAACACUAAUAUGACAUUUAUAGAAGUUAAGAAAAAAAGAGAAACAUGAGUAAAUAAAAUGGAUAAUAAUAGAAGACAUGAAACAGAUGGUGGUAGUGGGAGAGUCAGAUAUUGGAAAAGCCAUUGUACAGAUAUAAUCAAGGUUUUAAAUCAUGAUAGUUGGAUCCUUAAUAUUUCCGAGAAUCAUUGUAAAAUGUAGCCGCAACAGCCUGUGAAGCACAAACUGAGACAUGAUGCCACCGAAACUGACACAUUGACAUGAGUAAGUAAUAAUUUAAGAAAAUGAAAUGAUUGAUUGUAACCACAUUCACUCGACACACUUUCAAUCUGAACUGUUGAUGCUAGCUAUCAGAUGACCGUGUCGCAUAGAUAUCAAAAACCUUAAAUUGCAAUAAACGGACCUUCUUUUAAAAACCUACACCCUAUGAUCACUAUUAUAAGGAAAAAAAUCACUUUUUAGGUUCACUGAAUAGUUGAUGUAUCUUAUAUCAGAUACAUCAACUAUUCAAUGAAUCUAAAAUGUGCUUUUUUGCUUAUAACAGUGACCAGAAGAUGUAUCAAGUAGACAUAUGAGUUGUUAUUCUUAUAAACUUACAGUUAAAGUCACAUGAGAUCCUUCAGCCACUGGUAUAUCAGUUCUUCCAGCAACCUCCAACUACACAAAUACAAAUUUAGUCUCAAAACUAAAUUUCAUCAAAUAAAACUAUUGCAAGACACGUGUCAGACAUCAGACAUGUCUUCGAUUAGAAGUGUCGGUGCUACGGAGCUAUCAAACCAAACAAAACAAAAAAAUUACCAAAUGCAAAGCAUUUCUGGUGGCAAGAGUAGUAUAAACAUUUCCAUAGAUAGUAGUAAGUCCAAUAACUUGAACUUCUGGUGAUCUUAGAGCAAGAAAUAUUGCCAUAGCAUCAUCUGCACAAAAAAAAAAUAAUCAAUUACAAUAUUAUGAUCAAAGUCAAAGAAACAUGAAAUUUGAAACAAAGGAACAGAGUGAAUAUGAAAUUGAAAUCUAAAAGUGUAUUUACCGAUUCCAGGGUCGGUGUCGAUUAUGAUCUUCUUUGGUUCGGUUUGAGUUGCCAUGUGAUUUGAUUGAUGAUUUUUUUUCUUUUUUCUUUUUUCUUUUUUCUUUUUUCUUUUAGAAGAUAUAUAUUAUUGACAAUCAGUUAUUACUUCAGCUCUUCAACAGUACACUAGUACAAACGAACUUUUACUUAUAAUUAUGGUAAAGUACGAUCAAGUAUAAGUGGUUGUUAGCAAGUACCAACAUUUGACACAAUAUUAUAUAGAAAGAAAUUAUAAUUAUAAAAAAAAAAAAAAAACUAUUCCUAAAUAAAAAAGAUGUAUAUAUUUUUAUAAUAAUUAAAUUAUGCAUAUUUUAAUGAGAAAUGUUAACAAGACACUAUUUAAAAACUAUAACUAGUAAGUUUUGGUCAAAUACCUCCCACGGUAAUUUAUAACAUAUUAGUCAUUUCAGUUUAUUUUGUUAUUGAUUGGUCAUUUAAGUUAUUUUUUUGUUGCACAUUGAUCAUUUAUGUCAUAGAAUGUUUACACUCAUCCAUCUUUUCAGCUAACUUUAUUAAAAAGUACUUAUAGAUCAUUUAACAUUAAGAUGGUAGGUCUAAAAGGGCUUAUGACAUCAAACAUGAUUACUUAUACACAUUUUUUUCUUCUUGUUUUUUAAUUUAAAGCCUAAUUUUACAUAUAAAUAUUUGAUCAUCAAUAGGGCUGACAAUGAACCGAACCAACUCGAUUAGAGUUCGUAAUUCGAUUAGACAAUUGAUUUGUUGAACUUGGUUCAUGAACCAAAUGAGCCGAACUGGAGCUGAAAAUUAAGUUCGUCAACUAUAUAUAGUUCGACUCAUUUUGUUCACGAGAUGACUCGAUAAUAUAUAUAUAUAACACUGAAAAAAUAUUUUAAAAUUUUAUAUAAUUGAUUUUACACAAUUUGAUAAUUGAUUAUAUAUAUAAUACUUUAAAAACUAAGACAAACGAAUUCUUUGAACAAAUGAAUUUAAAAAUUGGUAUAAAUUCUAAUAUAUUUAUGUAUAAAAAAUUUAAAUUCUUUGACUUUUGAGUUACGUGGUUCAAGUGGUUUUACUCAUUUCCAUACCUAAAGUUAUGUGCUUUGAACAAACGAAUUGAACCUAAUGAGUCGAACCAAACUGUUCGUGAAUUUUAAACGAGCCGAACUUGAACUCAAAAAAAAGUUCGUGUCAAACUCGAACCGAGGUUUGAACAAAGCCAAUUCUUAACGAGUCGAGUCGAGCUCAUACAGGUUCGAUUCGACUCGACUCAUUUCCAGCCCUAAUCAUCAAUAUUAUAAAUCAAGUAAUCGGUCAAUUUUUUUUAAUCAAGACGGAAUAACAUUCCUAUGAGCUCUAGGUUUGAGAGCAAUGAAUUUGGAGAAACCAAUUUAACAUUAAACAUCUACAUAAACACUCUUUGAUUGAGUUUGAUGAAAUUAGGAUAAUGGUGCAAAUAUUUUAUGACUUAAAAGACCAAUUUGUAACAAAAAAAAACACUUAAAGGACUAACUUAUUAUAAUCAUGUAAUUUAAAAGGACCGUAAAUGAUAUUUAGCCUAAGUUUUUAUGAAAAGUUAUGUAUUUAUUGUAUUAAAAAUUGUAGUAUUUGAUUUUUUUUAAAAUAAUUUUUUAAUGUGGAAUGGUUAAAAAAUGUCUUGGGGCAAUCUUUAACACAAUAUUUUUUAUAGUGUGUGUAACUGAUGUGUACAAGUCUCAUUUGUCAUGGGUUUGAGCACCACUAAUGCAUUUAAGGGUAGAAAAUAUAAAUGUAUUUGUAUUCUUCUUCGAACUUGAAGGAUUUUUUUUGUUUUAGACCAGGGUGUCACCCUUCAUCCUAAAUUUUUACUAAAAAAUAUAUGGGUUAAAAAUGCUUUUCUUUGGGUAAAUCUAAAGUAUAUUAUGCAUGCAACUAUUAUACAUUCCGGUCGAAACCUCAACCAAAUGGUAGGGUCAAAGCAUCUGAUGUAGUCGCCCAUGUGCUAUCGAUUUUUUUUUUUUUAAGGAAAAGGACUUACUUAUAUAAUUAAUUAAAAUGGGUUGAAUAUAAUUUGGUAUGCUAAUAAAGAUUUGGAAACUAGCUAAUAACGUGGCCGUCUUAACUAGUUCAUCUCAUUUGUUGGUUUCCUUUAAACUAUUCACGGGAGUUUUCAUAAAAUGACUAAAGAGCUCUACAAUGAUUACUAAUGGCCCCGAAUUCACUUACAUCAUGCUUACGUGACAUAAAACUAUCUACCACUUUUUUAGAAUCGAGCUUGAAGUCAACAUAUCCGAAAUUGAGUUCAUCCACCCACUAUAAAGCCGAUAAGAGACCUAAUGCUUCUCCAAUAUAAAUGUCACAUGAGAUUAAUCCAUUCAAGUUUUGCCUACACAAAAGAACAUUUGUCAUCUCUUAUACACAUUCUUAAUCCAACGGAAAAAUUGUUGGAACAAAAUUGGAUUUGUCCAAUGCCUUUAAAAUUUUGAUGAUAACAAAGUAUUAAAGAACAAUUAGAUAUGUUAAUAUAUGUUCAAGAGUGCAGGAUCUUAGAUUAAAAUUUAACAAGGUCUAAAUAUGUAUAAAAGCACCAGAAGCACAAGAGAAGUUAAAAGACUUGAUAGAAGAUAUGAGGAAAGGUAAACUUAGAAGUCAAGCAAGUGAAGACCAUACUCAAGAAAAUAAGGCUAUGAGUCACUCAGACUUAGAGUCACCCAAACUCCGUGACAUCCAGACGGGACCUAGAAGCCUAGUCAUAUUUGUCUUCUUAUGAGAAGAGCCACUUUCAAUAGUACAAUUUGUCUUCUUCUCGAUCACGUGCUUAGUCAAAUUCAAGGACAAAAAGAAUGAAAAAGGAUAAUUCUAUUUCCGUCAAUGGAUUUCGAAUGUCCCUUCAAACGACGUUAACCAUAUCAGGCAACAUUUCAACGUCUUUGAUUUGAAGUUUCUCAACAACUCUUAAUGCGCUGACACUCUCCAACGUCUCUAAAAUCCUUGCAUAUAUAAGGAGCUAAAGACUUAAAGAAUAUGAACAAGAAUCUGCAAUUUUAAUUGUGCCCUUACUCUGUCAAAUUCAAAAGCGCAUAAAAACACUUAAGAAUUUCUUACCAAGUUCAUAAUUGAAUCUAAGUAUGAAUUUAUGGCUAUAACUCAUCUUCAGGGAAUCCUUCAAUUUCAAACAGGUGAGUAGGGAUUCAAAUAAAAUUCCACUAAUUCAUCGUAGGGUUGUGUUCUACUUUCUUAAACAUAAGACAAAUUAUAAACUAAUAAUUUAUGUAUUUAAUUUCCAACAAAGACGAAGUGGGGGAUUCAAGGAUUCCCUAAUCGCAGUUAAAUAUCUGAAUCAAUCAAACCUAACCUCGCAUUGUGCAAGAUAAUUAAAACCCUGCAACCAUCACCUUCAAAUCUUUUUAUUUAUUUGCUUUUUAAAUAGAUUCCGCUAAUUACAGAGUUCAACGACAAUCCCUGUAAAAACAAUUAAUUUAUUACUUUAUUACUUAGUACAAUUUGGUGCACUUGUCAAAAUCACCAACAAUUACAUAGUAUCAUCAGUCUAUAGUACCAUUCAGUAUUUAAAAAAGUUUAAAACACAUUUUUGUAUGUUAUUAAAUAAAACAAAUUCAACAUUUUAAGAGAACACACAUCUUCCUUUUAAGUCCAUGUCAACAGUAGUAUAGAUAGUGGGAAUGAAAUAAUGCAUGAUAAAAAAUAAAUUGUAGAGAAUGUCUUGUGUUCUCACAACAAUUUGGACACAAUAGGGCAUGCAUUGUGUUAUAAACUGAAACAAUACAUAGGGUGCCAAAGUGUAAUAGGAUGAAACAUGAAUACAAAUGUGUAUAAAUAUAGUUUUUAAAAUUCAAGGUACUUACCAUUGAAAUGUGUUGAGAUAGUUCUUUUUCAACUUGCAACCUUUUUUGAUGGAGAGACAUAUUAUUUAAGCAAUAAACAUAGCGAAUAUGAAUAUGUGAGAUUGGAUCCACUUUUUACAAAUGAAGCUGAAAUGUUUGAGAUGAUAUAACAAUAAUAGGACAUGUAUUGUUAAAUUUUAUUUGAAACAUUCUUGGAUAGAUGGACUAAAUUAAUCUAUGGGAAUAAAUAGAGUUAGAAAUGAAGAACUGCGUCUUUCCAAAAUAAAAUAAAAAAGGAGAAACGAAGGAGGUGUGAAAGUUGAUGGGAGUGAGAGGAUUGUUAGUUUUGAAUUUAGAUAUCAGAAAUACUGCAAAGGAAUUAUCGGGUUGAGUUACGAUCAGGUCGCUCUCUUUAAGAAGUUUCGCGGCACUACCCUAGUUGUGCAAGGUAGACUAACAACCACACCGUCUCCAGGAUAAAACAGUCCAGAUCACUGUUACGAUUAUACACUGCACAAUAUACAAUCGCUCGAGAUAUACACCUCUAAAUAUAGCCUAAUCGUUCGAUUAAAACUAUUCAAUACGGUAUGUAGCCGCUCUAUUCGAAACCGAAAGGGAUAGAAAGAAGUAGAAGCCGAAGAAUGACUCGUUAACACAAAUCGAAGGGAGAAGAGAGGAAUGGCACAGGAGGUCACUCUACCCUUAUAUAAAAAAUUUCUAGUUGGUGUGGUUCACCAAUGUGGGACAUUUUUAAGUCACACACUCACACUAGUUCUUACAUUGUGUUUUUCUUAUCCAAUUUUCUCACUAGAUUUAACUAGUGUUCCAACAAGGAUGAUAAGAUUUCUCUCAAGGAAUAUAUGUAGAGUAAAUUGCAACAUUUCUAAGAUAAGUAAACGUAUAAUUAACCGUUGUUACUUAACUGCAAAUUGUUUGAAACUAUUCACAGAAAUCCGCAACGUUUCAAGUUUGAAAACGCUUGGCUUGCUGAACCUGAUUUCAGAGAUCAAGUUAAACCACGCUGGCGGCACUAUCCUCAUGGCAAAUUCACGAAAAAGCUAACUCAAUGUGCUACUGAUCUUUCUGAAUGGAGUCGUAAUAAUAAUAAUAUCCGGCGUGAAAUCAGUAAAGUUCAGGAAAAAAUUGCACGGUUUCGAACCAACGUCACAACCUCAAACUUUGAUUUCUUCAAUUCUCUCAAAAAAUGGCUCGACAGGUUGCUUAUUCAGGAUGAUAUCUAUUGGAAACAACGGGAAAAAUCCUUCUAGUAUCGUGAUGGGGAUUUAAAUGCUAAAUAUUUUCACGCUGCUGCUACUUCUCGGAAAAAAGUCAAUUGAAUCACACAUCUUGAGAACUCAGCUGGAGUAGUAUGUCGUAAAGAAGAGGAUUUCCAAACAAUUGCACGUGACUAUUUUUCCAACUUAUUUACAAAGCUGCCAAGUAAUCGUGCAUCUGUUGUUUCUUUAGUUCCAAGUUCAAUCAUAGAUGAAGACAACUUCUCUUUAACUGCAGAUUUCACAAUGGAAGAAUUCUGAACAGCGGCAUUUUCAAUGCAAGCAAACAAGUGCCCAGGACCGGAUGGCUUCAAUCCGGGUUUCUACCAUAAUUUUUGGGACAUGUGCGGUCAAGAGGUGUACCAAGCAAGAUGUGAAUGGCUUGCAAAUGGUGUUUUCCCUCCUCAUUUGAACUCUACAAACAUUGCUUUAAUACCUAAAGGUGAUUCUCAGAAGUCUAUGAAGGACUGGAGACCUAUUGCACUAUGUAACGUUGUUUAUAAAAUAGUGACUAAGGUCCUUGCUAAUAGGCUUAAAGGUGUACUUGAAAAAUGCAUCUCCUCAUCUCAAUCCGCUUUUGUACUAGGCCGGUCUAUUCUUGAUAUCGCCUUGGUUGCCAUCGAAUUAAUUCACUAUAUGAAGGCAAAAACAAAGGGUACGCAAGGUGGUGUAGCUCUUAAGUUGGAUAUCAGCAAGGCAUAUGAUAGGCUGGACUGGGGAUAUCUCCGUGACAUUAUGUUUCAGAUGGGUUUCUCUGCUAAAUGGGUUCAGUGGAUUGUGUAAUGUAUUGAGACAGUUGACUACACAGUCCUUGUGAAUGGAGUUCAGGUUGGACCAUUCAUUCCUUGCAGAGGUAUAAGGCAAGGCGAUCCAUUAUCCCCUUACUUGUUCAUUCUUUGUGCUGAAGGGCUCUCUGCUCUUAUCAGUGAUGCCGAGAGAAGAGGUGCGAUCAAAGGUACACGCAUUUGUACACGUGCCCCGACAAUAACACAUCUCUUGUUUGCCGAUGACUGUUUUUUAUUCUUUGGAGCUUGUGAUCAUGAAGCCAUAGAGAUGAAGAAUAUUUUAACAUCUUAUGAGGCUGCGUCAGGGCAAUCAGAGAUGUAUUGUAGUAGAAAUACACCUUUGGAUUGUCAGGAGCGCAAAGCAACAAUACUUAGGGUCAAACAGGUAUUAGGCACAGGAAAGUAUCUAGGACUUCCAUCUAUGAUUGGCAGGAGCAACAAAACGACUUUUAAGUUUGUUAAGGAUCAUAUAUGGAACAUGAUUAAUUCAUGGAGUACCAGAUGUCUUUCGCAAACAAGAAGGGAAAUUCUUAUCAAAUCAGUCCUGCAAUCCAUACCCUCAUAUGUAAUGAGCGUGUUCUUAUUACCAGGCACUUUCAUCAGCGAAAUAGAGAAAAUGCUUAAUGCCUUUUGGUGGGGACAUAACUCUACUAACUCUAAAGUUUUACACUGGUUAUCAUGGGAACAUCUCUCUGUCCCUAAGAUCUUUGGAGGUAUGGGUUUCAAGAGUCUUAGAGCUUUCAAUUUGGCUAUGAUCGGAAAGCAGGCAUGGAAGAUGGUCGCUAACCCGGAUGCACUAAUCACUAGAUUACUCAAAGCUAAAUAUUAUCCACAUAUAGUGAUUAUUUUAAUGCUUCCAUAGGACAUAAUUCAAGUUACGUUUGGCGAAGUCUUUGGAAUGCUAGAGGUUUUAUUAAGUGCGGGUUAAAAUGGAGCAUAGGCACGGGAGAAUCCAUUUCUGUUUGGAAUGAACCUUGGCUAAAAGAUCCUAUAUGCCUUCAACAAAACAUAGAAGUGCAAGUUAUGUGGGAUGCUCUUAAUGUUGCUCAUUUAUUCAAGCCAAAUCAAAAGGUAUGGAAUGACAAUUUCAUUCAUUAUGUCUUUGAUGAUGAAACAACAAGUCAAAUUCUGCAGACCCCUCUUCUUCCUUCUGUUCAGAUGGAUACGGCUAUUUGGCGUCAUGAGAAAAAUGGCUUAUAUUCCGUUCGUAGUGCCUAUCGAGGCAUUUUUAAUAAUCAUGAUGCUAUGUUACACCACAUAGUCCAUGGUCAUUGGAACACUAUUUGGAAACUCAAGCUUCCCCCAAAAGUUAAAAAUUUCAUUUGGCGUAUCUGUCGUAAUUGUUUACCCACCCGGAUGAGAUUGACUGCGAAAGGUGUGGACUGUCCUAACAGUUGUGCGGUCUGUUUGGAAAGAGACGAAGACGGGAAGCAUUUGUUCUUCGAAUGCGGUAAAAGUGUCGGUUGUUGGCAACGCUGCAACCUCUAGAACUCCAUUCAAAAUUGUUGGUCCACUGAUGUUUCUUGUAUUGAACUGAUCUUUACUCUCCUCCAACAGUUCGAUAAUUCCCAACAACAAAUCUUUUCUAUCACCUUAUGGAGCAUAUGGAAACAUAGAAACAACAAAGUGUGGAACAAUGUUGUGGAAACAAUUCAACAAAUUAGUGAGAGGGCUGAAGCUUUUCUGAACAGCUGGAAAAAUGCGCAAACAAUAAAGCACCGCAGCCAAGUCACUACGAGGCAUAAUGAAGUCACGGGCUGGAAAAAAUCGGUAUUGGGAAGAUUCAAAUGUAAUGUGGAUGCAGCUUUUUCCGCCUCGCUUAAUAAGGUUGGUAUCAGAGCUUGUAUAAGGGAUGAGGUAGGGAACUUUGUCGCAGCCAGAACAACCUCUAUCUCCCCUUUACUUGACGUUGAGAUGGGUGAAGCUAUAGGGCUUCUGCAAGCAAUGCAGUGGGCAAAAGAGCUUAACAUGGUAAGCAUGGACUUCGAAACAGACUCUAAGAUUGUGACAGAUAGCAUUUAUGAAGGAGAUGGUGUCUCUGAUUUUAUGGCAAUUAUUCAUGAUUGUAAACACUUGUUGAUGACCGACUUAGCAAACUCUGAUGUGAAUUUUAUUAGGAGACAAGCCAAUGGUGUUGCCCAUAGUUUAGCUAGGGAAGCAUUAUCACAUGCUAGUUUCCAAUUAUAUCUUAAUAUUCCACAUUGUAUAACUAGUUUGAUUAAUAAUGAAAAGCUAUAAGCUUCCUUUCUAAAAAAAAAAAAAAAAAAAACUAAACGUAUAAUUAAUUAUGUCGCAAUUUGUGUUGUAGUGUCCAUAAUAAUGGCUAUCACAAUUAGGGUGGUAAAGUUAUCCACCAAACAAUUUUUUUUUAAUGGAUUGGAUUCAAUCCAUCCAUUUAAGAAUAAGGAUGGAUUCAAUACAACAAAUUUAAUUUUUAAAAUCCAAUGGAUUAAUUAAAAUAAACAAGUCGUAAUAAAUAUUUAAAUAUUAAAAUUAAUUAAGAACUAAGAAAUUGUAAAAAUCUGACAAUAAAAAACAUAAAAUUAUAGAAAUUUAAUAGAGGUGGCAAAAUUAAGACUAUUACUUUUCCCACACUAUGUCUUUCCUCGCGCGUCCUAUUUUUUUUCCAAUUUUACCCCUGGUCCGGAUUUCGUUUUUCGGAUGGUAUUGUUAGAAUUUUGCAGAUGUUUCCGGAUUAAAAAAUCAGGAAUAAUGUUUUACCAGAAGUUUUGCAAUUUUAAUCUUCAAAAUUUGUAAAAUAAAAUGCAAAUAAAAUAAAAAAGUAGAAAUAAAAAGACACAAACAUAAAAACAACUCAUUUUAUUAAUAUAUGAACAAUGCAUUACAAUAAUUUUCAAGUUUUUUAAACUUAUUGCAUAAGAUCCUAAAUCUAUUUCUAAUCUCCUAUGAGCCUAAUUCUAAUCUCCUAAGAGUCUAACCAUUGAUAUGUGAUGGGACAUACCAGUCGUUUGCCUAUUGGAGGAAAACCGAAGGAAGAUGGAAGAGGAGGGCGGGAAGAAGAAAACAAUGCCUCUGAGGGAGAUGGGGGUUGCUCAAACUUACGCCCAGACAUGCCAAGCUAAGAACCACACUGACCCACAUGACCCUCAGAUGAACCGCGCUUCGUUGCAGCGCGGUUCCAUCCUCGUUGACCGUUCAUACAAACCCUGAAAGUUUUCAACGAGGCCCUUAUCUAUGAAAGGCCAACGAUGGAAAACCAUGGUUGUAGAAGGAAGAAGAGGAAGAGAGGAUGGGAGAGGAUGGUGUUAGAAAUAGUGGGGUUUGAAAGGCUAUUUAUAGGGAGGGGUGGGUCAAAAAUGGUUAGGAGGCCAUAAAUGCAGUCAAAAAACGUGUUUUACUACGUUUUUUUUACUUGAUCACCAACAAAAACGUGUGGUGCAGACCAUCGGCCAUGACUGAUGCAUUACGGAAUAUAUAAUCCGGAAAGCACAUCUGUUUUCUGGAAUAUAUUUUCCGGAUUAAUGCGAUAAUGGUGGUGAACGAGGGAAAAGUUGGUACUUCCUAUUGGGCUAAGGACAUUCCGGAAUGUAAAAUCCGGAAAGAUUCAGAGCCAUUUAUGUGGGUUUGGACGGUUACAACAACCACUAACACGUUUUCAUUGACUGUAUUAAUGACUUAGGACUUGUUUUAGGCUAUAAAUAGGCGGCUUCCAUCUUCAACAAAUACCUUCAUUCUUCACUUCACCUCUUUUCUUACAUUUUCUUCAAAUAUUUUUUAGUUUUUUAGGGGUGUUGAUGGUGUCAUGAUCAUUGUUGGCCGUUCAUAGAAACCCUACAAUUGCAAUGCAUUGCAGCUUGUGUGGGGUUCAUAUAACGGUCAACAGAGACCCUUGACAUCAAAGAAAGACACAGAAAAUUACAUAACAUCUGGUCCGGAUUUCUGUUUCCGGAAAUCACUAACAAUCUGAUCCGGAUUAUGUAAUCCGGACCAUGGGUAUUUUAGUAAAUUUUGCAGGGUGCGUGAGAAGGCAGCAGGGUGGGAAAAGUAAUAGUCCAAAAUUAAUACUUUCGAUGAUAAAAUUAUUUUCUCUUGACUGGGCCUAAAACAUAAUUUUUCAUUUAGUCCAUUUGAAAGAGUAGAUUUCUCUUUAGGCCCCCCUCAUAUCUCUUUAGGCCCCGAAAAUUAGAUGUUUAUUUUUAAAAUUUAUAUUUUGUACAUCUGGUAGAUAACUACCAGAUGUUCAUUUUAAAAAAAUUUCAUUUUCUACCUCUAGUAGAUAGCUACCGAUUGUUAAUUUAAAAAAUUUCAUUAUGUACCUCCGGUAGAUCACUACCGGAUUAUUGCCCAUUUAACCUUCUUUUUACUAAAACAUCAACCAAACUUUCUCUCUCAUUUUCUCGCAUCUCUCCAUCAGCUCACUUCGUCCACCAUCUCACUCUGAUGACCUAAUUCAUACCUAAUGAGAACGUCGAAUCAUCACCGUCCAAUUAUCCACCAUCAUCAAAAUUCACCAAAUAUGCUAAUUGAUCGCAAUUGAGUGAAUAUUGACGCUAUUUGUUCUACUGAUUGUGAUGAAAACGCAAAAAAUCACCCAAAAAUUGCAAGUUUUAAAAGCAUAUUCAAGUUGAGUGCAAAACAGAAAAUGACUGCUUAAAAACUGCAAUUUGAUUUAUAUAAUGAAUAUUCCAACAGUUAUCUACCUGAGAUACAUAAUCAAGAUUUUUAAAAUGAAAAUCCGAUAGUUAUCUACCGGAUGUAUAAAAUUAAAAUUUUUAAAAUGAACUUCCAGUAGUUAUCUACUAGAUAUACAAAAUGUAAAUUUUUAAAAUGAACAUCCGAUAAUUAUCUACGAGACGUGUUAUUAAGAGAAAUUUUAUAAUUUUAGGGGACCUAGAGAUACGGAGGGGGCCUAAAAAGAAAUCUUAUUUGAAAGAAACAUGAUAUUUAGCCCAAACGCAAAUCAAUUAUAGACAAAAACAAUAGUUAUAGGUAUCAUUAUAUUUUUAGGAAAAACUUUGCACAACAUAUCCUACGACUUCUAAUUUGAUCCUGCAAGCAACUUUUAAAAUAAGUCUUCUUAUUUAUCAAAAACUGUAGUAAACAGGUAUACAAAAUAAUUGUUUUCCCUUUACUAUCACGAAAGGUUGAAAAGUAAGAAAAAAAAUUACUGGAAAAAAUAAUGAAAAAUUAGGUAAAUAAUAUUAAAUUCUUAUGAAUAUUAAGUUCCUAUGUUUUCAGAAGGGACAAAAAAACCCAUUGAUACAUUUAAGACGCACUUGGUAAUGAAUUUUAAUUUGUGAAGGGUUUUUAAAAUUUCAUAAUGCUUAAACUCUUUAAUUUUAUUUAUACGUCCAUGAACUUUAUACACUAUAAAUAGAUCAAAUUAUCUACCAAUUUUUUUAUCCAAAUAAGAAAAAAUAUGGUUGAAAUUCAGAAGUUGGUUUAUGUUUUGAUUCUAUUUCUUUCCAUAUUUCUUGAAAUGAUAGUAUCCAAUUGUACUUUCAUUGGGUUUCAAGACAAUCCUUGUAAAACAGAUAAAGAUUGUCGAAAAGUUAGAGGGGUUAAUCUUAGAUGUCGUAAUGGCCAUUGUGUAAUGAUUUUGCAAUAAACGAGUUCUUUCACUGGCAAGAGAAUUGUACGGUAUACCUUAUGCUUGAAUCUGUUAGGGUUGAUUCACAUGCAUUGAAUGGACCAGGUUUUAUGCCCCCCCCAACAAUUUUAAUGUAAUUUUUUUUUACCUUUUUUAAUAAUAUAUAUGAGCAUUUGUCAAAAGUUAGAGUAUGGUACCAACUUAAUUAGUUGGACACUAUUCUUUCUGAUGUCAUUUUUCUUUUAUAACUUAUAAAAAAAAUAUUACACUUGUUGUCAUUUAGUUAUUGUGCAUGCACUAAAUUAUUGUUUUCUUCUUAUUACUCUUCUUCGUCUUCUUCUUUUCCAUCCUAAUUUCAAGGAAAUGAAACAAGGCAACUCUUCUUCAUCCUAAUUUGUCAAUGAUAAUGAUUCAAAUUUUGAUUUUUUAUAUAAAUUUUGAAUGCUUUUGAUUUGGCAAAAUACUAUUAUUUGCAAAAUUUUAUGUAUUGAUUUAAAUUCAGUUAUGUUUCUUUUCUUUUUUAUUGUUUUUUGUAUUAAAGUGCGGGUAAUGGGCGCGAGUACGGACAUUUAGAUGUCCAUAGGGCAUGGGGACGGGUAGUAAAAUUGUUGCCCACGAGGGUAUGAGUUCGGGUACAUGUAUUUUUUACAAAUACGGGUAUGGGGACAAGCAUUAUAGUACCCUGCCCAUUGGGGACGCAUUGCCAUCCCUACGUGUUGUUCAUCUAUAUACACUACAUGCUGAACGAAAAUGGCUUAAGAACAAUAUUUCUCAAUUUUGGUAUAGAUGAUAAUAAAGUACAAAAGAAAAAUUUAUUUUCUCAUGCUUGUUUCAUGUGAAAAAAAAUAUUUUAAUAAAUUUAUCCUUUUAGCACGUGAAGAGAUCGAAUGACCAUACGAUAAUGAGUAAAUGGAUGACACCUUAUUUAAAUUUAUAGAUAAUGAGUUAAUAUGAUUAUAUAGUAUUGAAAUUAAGUGAUUAUAAGAAUAAUGUUUCAACUAUUAGUAAAUUAUAUGGAAUUUGUAAUUAUUGUUUUCUGAAUCAAGUUCAAAACUGAAAUAAAGGAUUUUAAGAGUAAAUAUUUUUUUCAUAAAAAUAAAACAACGCAUUUUCAAAUUUAAGUUUUGAUCAAUCAGUUAAUGAUACCAAAUACGUAACUAUAGUUUUUGCUGUAAAAAAAGUGAAACUAUUUUUUUUAAUCAAGUUCGGAACAAAAAUAGAGGAUUUUAAGAGUAAGUACUUUUUCCUUAAAAACAAAAAGAUUAACAGAUUUUUCAAAUUUAAGUUUUGAUCGAUAAUAUUAAUAAUGAUACCUGUAACUAUUGUUUUUUCUGUAAAAAAAGAAUGUAACUAUUUCUAGUAAAAAAAAAAAUGUAACUAUUUUUUAUCUGUAAUCUUGUUUUGUGAAGGAAGAGUAAAAGUAAAAUAAUAGCUUUAAGGGUAACAGAUACUUUUCAACGCAAAUAUUUAUUGUUUUAGGUUAUUAUAAUUGGAUUUUUUUUACUAUAUUAAGAGUUAUUUGGAAAAUUGCAAUAAUUUUUUUGAUAAUGAACAAAAUGUUGUUGAUAAUUUUUUUUUAAUUUUGAUUAAGGUAAACUACAAAAAAUAAAUUCACAGUAAUGAGAGAUGGAUUUGGAUACCCUAAACAUAUUCAACAUGAUUAAGUUAUGUUUGAAGUUUGUUUUUUACUAUCCUUUUUGAAGACAAAAUCCUUUAUGUUGUUUACAGACUCUAUUUUUUGCUUUAUGGCUGCUUAUAGCCUUAUUGUAUUGUAAUUAACACUUUUCAGCUCCCUUCGCACACCUUGUGCUUGAAGGACCGAUUACUUCUUUAAUAUAUUUCGCUUAUGGUCUGUUUGGUUGAGUAGAGAUUGUGAAGAGAGAUGAUGAAAAGAGAGAAAUUAAAGAGAAAUAGGUAACUUGUUGUGUUUGGAAUGAGAAGAAGUAGGGGAGAGAGGAAUAAUGUGUGGUCCUAUCAAAAGAUUCUUUCUACCCCUUGAAGCAGCGAAGAAAUGGGGAAGAAGAGCAAGUGUAUCGUGCUUUUACAAUUUAGUCUUUAUAGAAAAAUGUGCAAUUCAAAAAAUUUCACUUUUUAUGUGUAAAAUAAGUCAAUGGUAGGGGUAUUUUGAUACAUUUAAUAAUAAUCAACACUUCUCUCUUAUAUUUCUUUCAUAUCUCUUUUAUAUCAAACAAUACAUCAAAUCUACUCUAUUUCUCACUUAUUUCUCAUAUUUUUCUCUCUUUUCAAACUCUCUCUUACCUAUUUCUCUAUGCACAACUUCUCUCAUAAACCAAACACACCCUUAGGGUAUGUUUGUUUCAAGGGAAAGAAAGUGAUGAGGAGAGAAAGAUGAGGGAAAAAAAGCCUUUAUGUUGUUUGGAUCUCCCUAAAAAGGUGAAGGAAAGAAAGAAUUUUUGUGAGACCCACAUUAGAAACUUUUCUACCCAAACGGAAAGCUUUAGGAAUAUAAGUGAUUUGUUGAAAAUGUCCAAAAUGCCCAUAUUUUUAUUCUUUAUUCAUUUUACUAUGAAGUUGGUGUCUUUUUUCAUUUUUUUUUCUUUUCAAUUCAACGCUAAUCCUUUUUUUUUUUUUUGAAAUAAUUUGCUGCCUAACGUUUUUUUUUAGGAAUGCUGCCUAUCGUUUUGUUAGCACAUUGUUUUUAUUCAAAUUUUAUUUUUCCACUAAAACUAUAGACAAUUAGUUUAUAUAUACGGACAUAUUAUUUUUGUUUAAGGGUAUUAAUAUCAAUUACUAAAUUUAGGUCUUUCUUUCCUCCAACUUUCUAUUCCACUUUCUCUUGUACCAAACAACCAAAACAAUCCGCUUACUUUCUACUCUCUUUCUUUCCUUAGACAAUCUUUCUUUUCUUUCAUUUUCUUUGUGCAUUCAAACAAAGCUUUAGUUUCUUAAAAAAAAAAAUUAUGUUUGAAGUUCUUUAUUUUAGAAACGUUUGAAGAUAUAUCGUAUCAAUUUAGCAAAUGUAGAAUAUAUUAGUUUAUAUAAUAUUAAUUUGAGGACAUGUAUGUAUUGUGUUACAAACUUGAAACAAUACGUGCCAAAGUGUGAUUGAAUAAAAGAGGACUACAAAUGUGUAUAAAAAUAGUUUUUAAAAUUUAAGGACAUAUGUGUUGAGAUAGUCCUUUUCCAACUUGCAACUUCUUGUGUUGAGUAUGUGAGAUUGGAUUCAAUUUUUACAAAUGAAUCUGAAACAUUUUAGAUGAUAUAACAAAGAAUAGGACAUGUAUUGUUAGAUUUUAUUUGAAACAAUCUUGGAUUGAUAGACUAAUUAAUUAAUCCAUGGGGAUAAAUAGAGAGAGUGUUAGAAAUGGAGAAGUAGUCUUUCUCCAAAAAAAAAAAAAAAAAAGAAACGUAGGAGUGAAAGUUGAUAGGAGUGGGAGGAUUGUAGGAUUUUCUCAAGGAAUAUAUCUUAUCUUAUCUUAUUAUAUACAAAUGUAAAGAUGUGUUGCAUCCAAACUCUAGAAAAAUCCUAGAUUUAUCCAUGUUUUUUUUCUUACUAAAAUGGCCUCCCAUAGGCGCCAAAAUGCAAGGCCAUGUGACAUUUCUAGCCAUUGAUAAUAUUCAUCAAUCAAACCAUGUCAUUUGUAUCAAAGUUUCUUCUGUGACAAUAUUUGAAGUUUAUAAAAAGAUUUUGUUAGCCUAAAAAAGAAAACAAUAAUUUUGUUGCACCCUAAACAUAAAGGCUACAUUUAGACAUAGAUAAAUGCACUGUUCUAUGCACCUUUAUUACCACCAUAUACAUAAAUGCUAGUAUAUGGUAGACAUUGACUUUAGUUAGAAGAAUAACAAUAUUUCAAGUUUACAAAAAAGGCUAUACAUCUAGACAGAAAAGCUGCACUUAUUAUUAAUAAUAAGAGGGUUUGUCUUCUUUAGUUUCACUUUUUAAGCUACACAAUAAAAGGAUUCCGCCAAAACUUGAACUUAAUUAUUACUCCCUCCGUUUUAAAAUGAGUGUUGUUUUAGGUUUUUACACAUAUUAAGAAAUGCAAUGAUUAAAAAAAAGAUAAUGGUUAUUUUACCAAAUUAUCCUUAUUAACUAUUUGUUAGUUUUAAAAGUAAUACUUUGGAGGGUACAAUUGAAAAGAAAAAAUUAUUAUUGCAUUGGAAACUGAAAGUGACAUUCAUUUAAAAUAAUUUUUUUUAGCUAAAACAACACUUAUAUUGUGGUCAUCAUUAACCCGUGCGAAGCACGAAAGCGCCGUCUAGUGUAGAGUAAACUUCAACAUUUAUAUGGUGAGUAAACAUAUAAUUAGUUCAUGUCACAAUUUAUGUUGCAGUGUUCAUAAUGAUGGCUAUGACAACGACCACAAUGACAUCGCUACUAAUUGAUUCACAAACUACGGCUACCGCACAAGAAAAUGAGACUUUUGGAGAUCUUUAUAGUUGACUUUUAUUUUUGUCAAGUAUGACAUUCUCUUUUAGAUCGGUCUACAUAUAUUGCUGCUUUCGUUGUAUUUACUUCAAAUUAAUUUGCUUUGUAAUGGGAUUUGUUGUGGUCUUAUAGAAAAACAAAUAUUGAGAUGAAUUUUUUUUUUUCCGGUAUGAUGUUGGUUUUUGUGAACAUGAUUAAGUCUUUAAUUGUCCUACAACAAAAUUUACUUAUGAUUCACAUAGACAUCU